UCUCCCUGGACCAGCCACCAGCCAGGCCCAAGGGAAGCAUCCAAGGACCACCACGCAGGGCUUUGCACUGGGAGAAGUGACUUUCCUUUCACAGCUCGCAUUCCUGCCGCUGUUGAAGCACCAGCUCUCUCUCAGUGAUCCUGUGGAAGGUGACUCAUGUUGAUAUAGACAUGAUAAGGGACAGGAUUUCCUUCCCCACUUCCCACCUGCGGGCGCUGAGGCUGUUCACAGGAUCACAAAACAGGGCGGAAAGGGACCUCUGGAGAUCACCCAGUCCAAACCCCCUCUCAUGGCAGGGUCACCUGGAGCAGGCAACACAGGAAUUGGAAUGUCUCCAGAGGCACGGAAGAAGAGACCGGCCCCCACCCGGCUCACUACAGCCCCCGGUCACGGAGUAGAAUUAUUCUCCAGAAACACCUAUUCACGAUCCUGUUUGCUCAGGAGAUUGGCAGAUGUUCACAGAGGGUCAGUUAUUCCCACACUUUACACCAAAAUCUAUGGGGAAUGCCGGCACUGAACAGAAACCCGCCCCUCUCCUCCAAAGCCUUGAUGCGAUCUACGUGCUCCCAGGUUAUCCCACUGCUGGGCACCAUCGGGCUUUGCAGGAUGAGCCCCUUGCUGUGCAAAGCACAGUCCCUUCUGCCUGCCUGCAUGCGUGGUGCUUUCCUGCUAGAUGGAGGUUGUAUGAGUGCUGUGGAAAAUGCAGGUACAAAUACAGAUUCGUGGAUAACCUGCAAUCCAUCGCUCCAUGCAUCUCCAACUUUUCUUUUCAGGGUCAGCUUCUAGUACCAGCCCGUGGCAGAAGAAUAAAAACAACUCGGUUAGACUCCCCUGGCUGUUUUCAAGUUAUAAAAUAGCAAUUCCCUCUCCUUUUAUUCAUUACUUUUUAGGCAGAACACUAUUAGAUUUAGCGAUUUCCUGGUUUUCACAGAAGUUUGAUCACAGUUAUGCAACAUUAGGUUACAUUACUCUGGGUGCUUUAAUACUGCUAAUAAUUAUUGUCUAGGUUCAUGAGCAACAGAGCUCACAAUUUGUGGUGGUUGUUAUCUCUCUGAUUUGUGAUCACUUUCCAUGCAGAUGUGCCUCUGUACAGCAAUUUAGGUGCUAUAUAAAUCAAAAUAUUUUGUCAGUGUACUGGCUGCACUGAGAAAAAUCUGAAGUUUCUUGUAUCUUCUUCUUUUUUUGUCUUCCUCUGUAUUUCCACUGCAUUACUAAGAAAGUUUAUUGUCUUGUUACAUGGUAGUAAGAAUUUCAGCAGUCUAGCUAAAAGGAACAGAUCCAGCAAUUACAAAACUCACUAAGAAGUAAAUGAGGCACCACUUACAUUGCAGAAUGCUUACCAUCAGUUCUGAUAACGCAAGUGGCAAAAAAAAUGCUUGGUGGGGCUGAAAAGUGUGGUUUUAAAAGUAUGUUUGCAAAGCUAUCAUAAAAAAUAGGCAAGGAAAUGUAUUUUAUUAGCUGACUUCGAAAAUAUUUGUGUAACUCUGUUUGCAUCACUGUAUAUGUCUACAUAUUUCUGUUUUUUUCAGAAUGAUCUCAAGGUCAUUCAGAGCUCCUGGGAACUUCAGCUAUAUUUUUCUAGUAAGUUAUUUCAGUCUUCCAAGUCCAAUUUAAGUAUAAACACAGUUUCCAUGCACAGCAGGUUUACAGUAUCUCUGUUUGCUUAUGUUAAAAGUUACCGACUACCCAGGUCGGUUCAGCCAGUCAGAUUGCCCUCUUCAAUAAACAUUCUGACACCA
Molecule: long non-coding RNA, 1739 nt
Organism: Passer domesticus (house sparrow)
Lineage: Eukaryota; Metazoa; Chordata; Aves; Passeriformes; Passeridae
Exons: 2
Source: RefSeq, a predicted model, not a curated record